GAAGAGGUUAAGGAUUUCUUUGACGGAAAGAUGGAAAGAGGUUCAGAGCUGAGCGAUACCUUGGGAAGAAAACACAAUUCAGAAGAACAAACAGUGAAAAGGCUGCAAAAAGAUAUGGGCUACCUGAGGAAAAAAGUUUUCCAAAAGGAAAUGAGAAGGCUAUGAAUUGUAACACAAAAGUUAUCUGUGUCAUAAUUUUGUGCAGAUAGAUCUCAAGUAUUCUCAACCACCAAGCGAUGGACCUCCACAUCCAGAGUUUCCUGCCUAGACCUCAUUAGGAAAUAAGAUGCAGUGGAGAAAACAAGGACAUUAGGGGUGUGUCUACAUCGAGCAUUGUGAAACACUUAAUUAUGGUUAUUUUCUG
RNAcentral lists this long non-coding RNA (364 nucleotides) under Homo sapiens (human). Its description in RNAcentral is "long non-coding RNA NONHSAT224018". The record is from RNAcentral. Lineage: Eukaryota; Metazoa; Chordata; Mammalia; Primates; Hominidae.